GAUGAACGCUGGCGGCGUGCUUAACACAUGCAAGUCGAGCGAGAAGUUUUGAAAAGAUUCUUCGGAUGAAAUUUAAAAUGGAAAGCGGCGGACGGGUGAGUAACGCGUAGGCAACCUGCCCCAUACAAAGGGAUAGCAUUUGGAAACGAAUAUUAAUACCUUAUGAAACUUAACUAGUGCAUGCUAGGUAGGUCAAAGAUUUAUCGGUAUGGGAUGGGCCUGCGUCUGAUUAGCUAGUUGGUGAGGUAACGGCUCACCAAGGCGACGAUCAGUAGCCGACCUGGGAGGGUGAACGGCCACAUUGGAACUGAGACACGGUCCAAACUCCUACGGGAGGCAGCAGUGGGGAAUAUUGCACAAUGGGGGAAACCCUGAUGCAGCAACGCCGCGUGAACGAGGAAGGCCUUUGGGUCGUAAAGUUCUGUUCUAGGUGAUGAAAACUGACAGUAACCGAGGAGAAAGCCCCGGCUAACUCCGUG
This 479-nucleotide ribosomal RNA is filed under the name uncultured bacterium. Its description in RNAcentral is "partial 16S ribosomal RNA". It matches the Rfam family "Bacterial small subunit ribosomal RNA", at positions 28 to 507 of the family's 1533-position model. The record is from RNAcentral.